RNAcentral lists this long non-coding RNA (1749 nucleotides) under Salmo salar (Atlantic salmon). Its description in RNAcentral is "lncRNA (ENSSSAG00000093781.1, ENSSSAG00000103691.1)". Lineage: Eukaryota; Metazoa; Chordata; Actinopteri; Salmoniformes; Salmonidae. The record is from RNAcentral.
GAGAGGAGUGUAGAGAGAGAGAGAGAGAUAUGGAGAGAGGAGUGUAGAGAGAGAGAGAGAGAGAUAUGGAGAGAGGAGUGUAGAGAGAGAGAGAGAGAUAUGGAGAGAGGAGUGUAGAGAGAGAGAGAGAUAUGGAGAGAGGAGUGUAGAGAGAGAGAGAGAUAUGGAGAGAGGAGUGUAGAGAGAGAGAGAGAUAUGGAGAGAGGAGUGUAGAGAGAGAGAGAUAUGGAGAGAGGAGUGUAGAGAGAGAGAGAGAUAUGGAGAGAGGAGUGUAGAGAGAGAGAGAGAGAUAUGGAGAGAGAAGUGUAGAGAGAGAGAGAGAGAUGAGAGAGAGAGAGAGAGAGAGAGAGAGGAGUGUAGAGAGAGAGAGAGAGAGAGAUAUGGAGAGAGGAGUGUAGAGAGAGAGAGAGAGAGAGAUAUGGAGAGAGGAGUGUAGAGAGAGAGAGAGAUAUGGAGAGAGGAGUGUAGAGAGAGAGAGAGAGAGAGAUAUGGAGAGAGAGAGAGAGAUAUGGAGAGAGGAGUGUAGAGAGAGAGAGAUGUGGAGAGAGGAGUAGAGAGAGGGAGAUGUGGAGAGAGGAGUAGAGAGAGGAGAGAUGUGGAGAGAGGAGAGAUGUGGAGAGAGGAGAGAUGUGGAGAGAGGAGUAGAGAGAUAUGAGAGAGCGAGAGAUGUGGAGAGAGAUAUGAGAGAGCAAGAGAUGUGGAGAGAGAUAUGAGAGAGCGAGAGAUGUGGAGAGAGAUAUGAGAGAGCGAGAGAUGUGGAGAGAGAUAUGAGAGAGCGAGAGAUGUGGAGAGAGAGUAUGAGAGAGCGAGAGAUGUGGAGAGAGAUAUGAGAGAGCGAGAGAUGUGGAGAGAGAUAUGAGAGAGCGAGAGAUGUGGAGAGAGAUAUGAGAGAGCGAGAGAUGUGGAGAGAGAUAUGAGAGAGCGAGAGAUGUGGAGAGAGGAGUAGAGAGAGCGAGAGAUAUAUGGAGAGAGGAGUAGAGAGAGCGAGAGAUAUGGAGAGAGGAGUAGAGAGAGCGAGAGAUAUGGAGAGGAGUGUAGAGAGAGAGAGAUGUGGAGAGAGGAGUAGAGAGAGGGAGAUGGAGAGAGGAGUAGAGAGAGGAGAGAUGUGGAGAGAGGAGAGAUGUGGAGAGAGGAGUAGAGAGAGGAGAGAUGUGGAGAGAGGAGUAGAGAGAGGAGAGAUGUGGAGAGAGAUAUGAGAGAGCGAGAGAUGUGGAGAGAGAAGGAGUAGAGAGAGAGAUAUGGAGAGAGAAGUAGAGAGAGAGAUAUGGAGAGAGGAGUAGAGAGAGAGAGAUGGAGAGAGAAGUAGAGAGAGAGAGAUGUGGAGAGAGAAAUGGAGAGAGGAGUAGAGAGAGAUAAACCACGUUACCAUCCACAGAUUUAUGCAAGUAAAGUCAUUCUGUAUCAAAACAAUCACGACAGCUGUGAUGGAAACAGGACGUUUUGGUACAAUGGUAUAAAUGCCAACAAAUGGUGUGAUCUUUUUGUGUCCAUAAAAUUAAUUAUGUGAGAAAUGGCAGUUCAUGUACAAAUAUUAAAAAAUAAUAUCGAAGUAACCUUGGAGUCAUUAUGAUGCGUGUAUGCCUUAUGACUAACGAGACGUGGUGUGAUCGUAACAAUAUACAGGAACUCAAGUCCUUUUGUUCACCUUACUUAGAAUUCCUCACAAUCAAAUGCCGACAGCAUUAUCUACCAAGAGAAUUCUCUUCGAUCAUAAUCACAGUCGUGUAUAUCCCCCCACCAAGCAGACAC